This 1379-nucleotide ribosomal RNA is filed under the name uncultured bacterium. RNAcentral's name for it is "16S ribosomal RNA". It matches the Rfam family "Bacterial small subunit ribosomal RNA". The record is from RNAcentral.
UUCGCCCUUAGAGUUUGAUCCUGGCUCAGGACGAACGCUGGCGGCGCGCCUAACACAUGCAAGUCGAACGAGCGAGAGAGAGCUUGCUUUCUCAAGCGAGUGGCGAACGGGUGAGUAACGCGUGAGGAACCUGCCUCAAAGAGGGGGACAACAGUUGGAAACGACUGCUAAUACCGCAUAAGCCCACGGGUCGGCAUCGACCAGAGGGAAAAGGAGCAAUCCGCUUUGAGAUGGCCUCGCGUCCGAUUAGCUAGUUGGUGAGGUAAUGGCCCACCAAGGCGACGAUCGGUAGCCGGACUGAGAGGUUGAACGGCCACAUUGGGACUGAGACACGGCCCAGACUCCUACGGGAGGCAGCAGUGGGGAAUAUUGCACAAUGGGGGAAACCUUGAUGCAGCGACGCCGCGUGGAGGAAGAAGGUCUUCGGAUUGUAAACUCCUGUUGUUGAGGAAGAUAAUGACGGUACUCAACAAGGAAGUGACGGCUAACUACGUGCCAGCAGCCGCGGUAAAACGUAGGUCACAAGCGUUGUCCGGAAUUACUGGGUGUAAAGGGAGCGCAGGCGGGAAGACAAGUUGGAAGUGAAAUCUAUGGGCUCAACCCAUAAACUGCUUUCAAAACUGUUUUUCUUGAGUAGUGCAGAGGUAGGCGGAAUUCCCGGUGUAGCGGUGGAAUGCGUAGAUAUCGGGAGGAACACCAGUGGCGAAGGCGGCCUACUGGGCACCAACUGACGCUGAGGCUCGAAAGUGUGGGUAGCAAACAGGAUUAGAUACCCUGGUAGUCCACACCGUAAACGAUGAUUACUAGGUGUUGGAGGAUUGACCCCUUCAGUGCCGCAGUUAACACAAUAAGUAAUCCACCUGGGGAGUACGACCGCAAGGUUGAAACUCAAAGGAAUUGACGGGGGCCCGCACAAGCAGUGGAGUAUGUGGUUUAAUUCGACGCAACGCGAAGAACCUUACCAAGUCUUGACAUCCUGCGACGAUGCUGGAAACAGUAUUUUCCUUCGGGACGCAGAGACAGGUGGUGCAUGGUUGUCGUCAGCUCGUGUCGUGAGAUGUUGGGUUAAGUCCCGCAACGAGCGCAACCCUUACUGUCAGUUACUACGCAAGAGGACUCUGGCAGGACUGCCGUUGACAAAACGGAGGAAGGUGGGGAUGACGUCAAAUCAUCAUGCCCUUUAUGACUUGGGCUACACACGUACUACAAUGGCGUUAAACAAAGAGAAGCAAGACCGCGAGGUGGAGCAAAACUCAGAAACAACGUCCCAGUUCGGACUGCAGGCUGCAACUCGCCUGCACGAAGUCGGAAUUGCUAGUAAUCGUGGAUCAGCAUGCCACGGUGAAUACGUUCCCGGGCCUUGCACACACCGCCCGUCA